UAUGUCUAAGGUCCCUGUAGUUGUGGUU
This 28-nucleotide non-coding RNA is filed under the name Homo sapiens (human). The record is from RNAcentral. Lineage: Eukaryota; Metazoa; Chordata; Mammalia; Primates; Hominidae.